Molecule: RNase P RNA, 385 nt
Filed under: Acetobacter conturbans
Lineage: Bacteria; Pseudomonadati; Pseudomonadota; Alphaproteobacteria; Acetobacterales; Acetobacteraceae
Description: RNase P RNA component class A
Rfam family: Bacterial RNase P class A
About the family: Ribonuclease P (RNase P) is a ubiquitous endoribonuclease, found in archaea, bacteria and eukarya as well as chloroplasts and mitochondria. Its best characterised activity is the generation of mature 5'-ends of tRNAs by cleaving the 5'-leader elements of precursor-tRNAs.
Source: RNAcentral
CCAGACGGUUGGACGACCGCUGUUGCGUCAAGCAAGGGAGGAAAGUCCGGGCUCCACGGGAGAACGGUGCCGGUUAACGACCGGCGAGGGUGACCUCAGGGACAGUGCCACAGAAAAGAAACCGCCUUCCUGGCCUGCUUGCAGGCUGGAGGUAAGGGUGAAACGGUGCGGUAAGAGCGCACCGCGCUUCCGGUAACGGCGGCGGCAGGGCAAACCCCACCGGGAGCAAGACCGAAUAGGGACGGUAGGCAGCCUGACUGCCAAAGGUUCUCCCGCCUUCCGUCCGGGUUGGUCGCGUGAGGCGUGUUGCAAGACACGUCCCAGAGGAAUGGUCGUCUCGAUCCUUCGGGGUCGACAGAACCCGGCUUACAGACCGUCUGGCAUU